GGUCUUUUGGCUAAGAUCAAGUGUAGUA
This 28-nucleotide small nuclear RNA is filed under the name Cervus elaphus hippelaphus. Lineage: Eukaryota; Metazoa; Chordata; Mammalia; Artiodactyla; Cervidae. The record is from RNAcentral.